UGGAAUAGUUUACAUGGACUCUGAGGGCCAAUCAUCCUGAGGAUAUACAAGUAGUACCAGGUAACAGUUUUGUGUAAGGCCAGACACUUCUUCUAUAGUAUAGCUAUUUAUGGCUUGUUCAUACUCUAGGAUAUAACCUCACACUGGGUGAAUGUUUUGAAUACCAACUAAAUGCAUGAAGUCACCAAGCCAGAUUAGUGUAGAAUCCUUUAUGUCUUCUACCUUGGCCCCCUUCCUCAGGAGUAAUUAGAGACAGACGCCUAGGAAAUCCUCCUACAAUGCAAAACCACAUUAAGAUGGAGAAAUUUCAAUUUCAAGCCAACAUAAGCCACAUAAGAGUUCCAGGCUGGUCAGAGCUACGUGGUUUAAAACAAUCCACUUUAUUUUCAUUACCUGCUGCUGAUAACAAAUAUAGAGAUCCCCCAGUGAUUUUGUUUGAAGAGGUACAGAAAACAUUACAACAAGAUUAAAUAUAUUACAGUGAACUAUGUGCAGCACUAUAAGAAAAUAUCAAAAUACAUUCCAUAGAUGUGUUAAAUUUAAAAAUGAUAAAUAAAAGCAUUAAAACAAAAGGUAAGGGGGAGGAAUUUAUCAAGAGAAUUUUAAGAGCUUUUGUAGUAAUCUGAUGUCCACUCAUGAAUAGAACAGAAUUGGGAAGGCUGGUUUACUUCACUGGUAGUUUUUGUUACUGGUAUUAUGUGCUCUGGUGUAUCAGUCCUUGGGGAAAGUUUUAGUUCAAGUAAAUGUGUGUAGAGCCCAUUAGAGCAAACUUUGUAGGAAUCCUAGCAAAGGUGAAUAGGUGAAACUUCUAUCCUUAGCCUCCUGCCUUGAAUAACUCUGAGUGUAUCAACAUUGGUUCUCUUUUGAAAUGGACAAUGUUCUUAUUCUUGAUGAAAAAAUAAAAUACUGGUGUGUGUGUGUGUGUGUGUUUGUGUGUGUGUGUGUGUGUGUGUGUGUGUGUGUGUGUGUGUGUUUGUGUGUGUGUCCCAUAAAAGAUGCAUUGGUUUCCUAAGAUGAAUGUUUCCGUGUUCCGCAUGAUCACUAUUCUAGCAUAUUUGGUUGUCAAAGAGCUCCUUCCCCUGGUAUCACUUCCUCUGCUAUCAGUGUUCAGCACUGGCCCUGCUCAUUAUCUUGUUCUAAUGUCAGAGGCAGAUAACAAUCUUUCCCAAACAGCAGACAGACUUAUAGUGGCAGAAUUAAUUAAAAUUGAUUCACACAUUGUGUCAUGUAAAGGUCUUCUGAGAGCUUUCUUUGCUACAUCCCUCUCGGUUUCCUGGUGUUGUACUACAUGACCCAGGUGGGAAUCACUGCGUGCGAAUACUAAUUAGAAACCUGAAUAGAACUGUGUACACUGAGUGGCAGUGGAAUGCAUGAAGGGAAUUUAGAACUUACUUCAUUUAAGGAUUUCAUAAGGGAUUAAUUCUUUAUUCCGACUUCUUAAGAUUUUAUUCAGAGGAGGACAAAGCUGAUGAAUCAAGGUUAUCAUAAAUCUUGUAAAUGAAUACUAUAUUUUAAUCGUUAAUUGUUCAAGACUGUAACCUUUUAAAAGCAUAUGAAGCAUUAGAAAUAAAGGCAACAGAAGUAUAAACAUGUAUCUAUAUUAAUAAUCUAAUUAAUUUUAGUGAAGAAUAUGGAUAAUACUAUAUCUGUCCAUAACAAAUAGCUGAAAAUAGACAAUUUUAUACUUAUGUUCCAUGUAGAAUAACGUUUAUAAACAACAAAGUUCUAAUAUAUUUCUUUACUUGGUCAAUCUGGUGAUAGAACACUGAACCUUGUGCAUUGUGGAGAACUGUAAUAGAACAUCUAGACUUAUGUAGGUACACAUUUACUGUUAUUACCUUUAGUUAACACAGUAACAUCUUAUUCAGGACAGCACUUGGCCUUUUUUCACUAAGGAUAUAUACUAGCUACAGUCUGUUAUAAUUUGCUGUCACAAGGAAACAAACACUUGAGCAAGGUAGACAUCAUAUUUUCAUGGACACAAUCCAAACACUUAAAUCUUCAUGUAUCACUAAUAUUUCAUUUGAUAAUAGUAGGGGUACUUCUCAGAGAUAUUCACAUAUGCAGUUUUUUUCAAUGAACAUAUUUUAUCCUCAACUUUGGGGAGAAUAAAUGUAUACCCCAGGGAAUGGAGACCCCCAUGGUCCAUGACCCAGUUUACAAGUCACCUAAUGGUCAUGUUGCAACACUAGUGCAAUGCUAUGUCCAUCAGCCCCUCAAUAAGAAGGAUAUGAUGAAGUUCACAGAGUUGUUAACUCUGAUGAAGGAUUGCAAAAACCAAAAGGACAGUUCAAGUUCCCACAAUGAAAGAUAGAAAUCAUGCAAGAUUAUUUUACAGUUCUCAUAACUACAUUUUCAUAGCUAAUAAUCCAUUUAGAUGGUAGGAGUUUCAUAAUGAAGAUAAUUAUAAUUUUUCUUUUAAUUUUAUGUGUAUGAGUGUUUUUCCUGCAUGUAUAAGUGUGUGACAGUGGUCCUGGUCUACAGAAGACAGACAAGGGUACUGGUUAGUCUGGAACUGGAGGCCAGUACUCUUGACAUUUAAACCAACUCUCAAGCUUCUUCCAGUUUCACACAUUCAACAUUAUUAAAAUAUUUGAUAUGUAUGCUAGGAAUAAAUUAUUAUUAGAUGAGUAACCAUUGCAGUUACAGCCUCAAUAUGUUUAAGCUUUACAAUAGCUCAAAACAUAGUCGGUAUAAGUAAAUUAAGAUAUUUAAGAAAAUGUGUUGUUUGUUACACUAAACACUGCUUUUGUUAGUUUCAUAUGCUUUUUUUUUUCUUUUACUACAUAUGCCCUUUUAAUGUGGUGAUUUCUACAACACAAUUAACCUUGAUAGGAUAUCAUACCCUAAAAUCCUUGAGAGAAAUGCCUCAGAACAAUCAAUUAGUUCACCAUAUAUGAAGUCAUUUAUAUAAAUACCUGUUACC
Molecule: long non-coding RNA, 2926 nt
Filed under: Mus musculus (house mouse)
Lineage: Eukaryota; Metazoa; Chordata; Mammalia; Rodentia; Muridae
Description: long non-coding RNA chr15:20569904-20572830
Source: RNAcentral